Molecule: long non-coding RNA, 115 nt
Organism: Herpailurus yagouaroundi (jaguarundi)
Lineage: Eukaryota; Metazoa; Chordata; Mammalia; Carnivora; Felidae
Exons: 3
Source: RefSeq, a predicted model, not a curated record
CAGGUGUGUGGGAAAGGAGAUGAAUUUUACUUUUAUUACAUGGAGUUUCAAGUGCCCGGUCAACAUUCAGAUGGAGAUGUCCAGGGUAGGGUGAAAACAAGAGAUCAGAAGAGCA